GUUCGAUUAUGGCUCAGAUUGAACGCUGGCGGAUGCUUUACACAUGCAAGUCGAACGGCAGCACGGACUUCGGUCUGGUGGCGAGUGGCGAACAGGUGAGUAAUGUAUCGGAACGUGCCUAGUAGCGGGGGAUAACUACGCGAAAGCGUAGCUAAUACCGCAUACGCCCUUCGAAAGCGGGGACCUUCAGGCCUCGCACUAUUAGAGCAGCCGAUAUCGGAUUAGCUAGUUGGUGGGGUAACGGCUCACCAAGGCGACGAUCCGUAGCUGGUUUGAGAGGACGACCAGCCGCACUGGGACUGAGACCUGGCCCAGACUCCUACGGGAGGCAGCAGUGAAAUUUUUUGAGCAAUGGGGGAAACCCUGAUCCAGCCAUCCCGCGUGUGCGAUGAAGGCCUUCGGGUUGUAAGCACUUUUGGCAGGAAAGAAACGGCACGGGAUAAUACGAUGCAACUGACGAACACCUGCAGAAUAAGCACCGGCUAACUACGUGCCAGCAGCAGCCGCGGUAAUACGUAGGAGUGCAAGCGUUAAUCAGAUUACUGAGGGCGUAAGCGUGCGCAGGCGGUUCGGAAGAAAGAUGUGAAAAUCCCAGGCUUAACUUUGGAACUGCAUUUUUAACUACCGAGCUAGAGUGUAUCAGAGGGAGGUGGAAUUCCGCGUGUAGCAGUGAAAUGCGUAGAUAUGCGGAGGAGCCUGAUGGCACGAGCAGCCCUCUGGGAUAACACUGACGCUCAUGCACGAAGCGUGGGAGCAAACGGGGCGGAUUGAAUGCCCUGGUAGUCCACGCCUAAACGUGUCAACUAGCUGUUGGGGCCUUCGGAGCUUGUAGUAGCGCAGCUAACGCGUAGAAGUUGACCGCCUGCACGGGGCUCUGAUCGCAAGAUUAAAACUCAAAGGAAUUGACGGGGACCCGCACAAGCGGUGGAUGAUGUGGAUUAAUUCGAUGCAACGCGAAAACCUUACCUACCUUGACAUGUCUGGAAUCCCGAGAUUGGGAGUGCUCGCAAGAGAACCGGAACACAGGUGCUGCAUGGCUGUCGUCAGCUCGUGUCGUGAGAUGUUGGGUUAAGUCACGCUAACGAGCGCAACCCUUGUCCUUGGUGCAACACGUAAUGGUGGGCACUCUAAGGAGACCGCCGGUGACAAACCGGAGGAAGGUGGGGAUGACGUCAAGUCAUCAUGGCCCGC
RNAcentral lists this unclassified non-coding RNA (1191 nucleotides) under uncultured Bordetella sp. Its description in RNAcentral is "partial 16S-23S ribosomal RNA intergenic spacer". It matches the Rfam family "Bacterial small subunit ribosomal RNA", at positions 11 to 1203 of the family's 1533-position model. Lineage: Bacteria; Pseudomonadati; Pseudomonadota; Betaproteobacteria; Burkholderiales; Alcaligenaceae. The record is from RNAcentral.